This 329-nucleotide ribosomal RNA is filed under the name uncultured prokaryote. Its description in RNAcentral is "bacterial SSU rRNA". It matches the Rfam family "Bacterial small subunit ribosomal RNA", at positions 26 to 352 of the family's 1533-position model. The record is from RNAcentral.
AGGACGAACGCUGGCGGCGUGCCUAAUACAUGCAAGUCGAACGAGGUCCAGUCGGUAGCAAUACCGACGAAGAUCGAGUGGCGAACGGGUGCGGAACACGUGAGCAACCUGCCCCGAAGAUCGGGAUAACGGCGGGAAACUGCCGCUAAUACCGAAUGCCCCACGAGCCGCAUGGUUUGUGAGGAAGGAUUCUGCUUCGGAGGGGCGUCGCGGCCUAUCAGCUUGUUGGUGGGGUAACGGCCUACCAAGGCGACGACGGGUAGCUGGUCUGAGAGGAUGAUCAGCCACACUGGGACUGAGACACGGCCCAGACUCCUACGGGAGGCAGC